GCGAGCGCAACGGUGGACCUAACCGGCGCCGGUCCACCUUGCCAAGGUGGGGGUCGCGGGUUCGAAUCCCGUCGUCCGCU
This 80-nucleotide transfer RNA is filed under the name Actinomycetota bacterium. Its description in RNAcentral is "tRNA-Gly". The stretch from base 13 to 80 matches the Rfam family "tRNA". Rfam says of the family: Transfer RNA (tRNA) molecules are approximately 80 nucleotides in length. Their secondary structure includes four short double-helical elements and three loops (D, anti-codon, and T loops). Further hydrogen bonds mediate the characteristic L-shaped molecular structure. tRNAs have two regions of fundamental functional importance: the anti-codon, which is responsible for specific mRNA codon recognition, and the 3' end, to which the tRNAs corresponding amino acid is attached (by aminoacyl-tRNA synthetases). tRNAs cope with the degeneracy of the genetic code in two manners: having more than one tRNA (with a specific anti-codon) for a particular amino acid; and 'wobble' base-pairing, i.e. permitting non-standard base-pairing at the 3rd anti-codon position. The record is from RNAcentral. Lineage: Bacteria; Bacillati; Actinomycetota.